Molecule: non-coding RNA, 22 nt
Filed under: Arabidopsis thaliana (thale cress)
Lineage: Eukaryota; Viridiplantae; Streptophyta; Magnoliopsida; Brassicales; Brassicaceae
Source: RNAcentral
UGUCACGAUUUUUUGUAAUUGC